CAGCCGCCGCGGGAAUACAGAGGGUGCGAGCGUUAAUCGGAUUUACUGGGCGUAAAGCGUGCGUAGGCGGCUUCUUAAGUCGGAUGUGAAAUCCCUGAGCUUAACUUAGGAAUUGCAUUCGAUACUGGGAAGCUAGAGUAUGGGAGAGGAUGGUAGAAUUCCAGGUGUAGCGGUGAAAUGCGUAGAGAUCUGGAGGAAUACCGAUGGCGAAGGCAGCCAUCUGGCCUAAUACUGACGCUGAGGUACGAAAGCAUGGGGAGCAAACAGGAUUAGAUACCCCUGUAGUCCCUGUCUCUUAUAC
This 301-nucleotide ribosomal RNA is filed under the name uncultured bacterium. RNAcentral describes it as "partial 16S ribosomal RNA". It matches the Rfam family "Bacterial small subunit ribosomal RNA", at positions 509 to 807 of the family's 1533-position model. The record is from RNAcentral.